This 424-nucleotide long non-coding RNA is filed under the name Phasianus colchicus (ring-necked pheasant). RNAcentral's name for it is "lncRNA (ENSPCLG00000012127.1)". The record is from RNAcentral. Lineage: Eukaryota; Metazoa; Chordata; Aves; Galliformes; Phasianidae.
AAAAUUUCUCUCUCUGGACGUGCUAAACAGCUGAAAAUCCUCUUUCCCCAGUGACUUCAAUCUAUUGAUGCUUCUGCAAUAUCAGAUCUGUAUCAUCCAAGGAUUUCAUUCACUUCGCCCUCAGGAAGAUGGGACGGUGCUGCCAACUCUGUUUCACAGAUGGGAGAGGGAGGCACAAUAUAUAUCUAAGGUAGACCAGGCCCUCUUUAGGUACUGGAAGAUUGCUACAAUCAAUCAACCAUAUGAAGUCUCUGCACACCAAAAUAGAGGGACAACUUCAUCACUGUUCGUCCACUUGAUCUGGCUUUUCUGCUCAAGGUUGCCUGCUGGUGAGACACUUGGCCCCUUCUCCACGCUGUCCAGCUUUCUGCUGCAGGUGUUGUUUUACGUUGUAUAAAUAGUUGGGACUGGAGCAGGAGCACUC